UGCUGACAGGCUCAAAUCUCUCUACGACGAGAUCAAUUUACAGGGCCCCACCCCGUGCAUUCGCCAUGGAGCUUGACAUCACCGCCGACGGUGCUACCAUUAAGGCCCCCGUACAAAUAGCUUGGGACGCCUUCGGAGGUAUCGAUGCCUUGGUUAACAAUGCCGGAGUUAGAGGUUGUGUAUUAUAAGCUUCUAUAUUAGUACUUGUUGAUAGUAAUUACUCCUCCCGUCCCAUUGAUGUUGUUUGACAAUGAAGAAAAGACUUUUAAAAUUUAAGGUCCAAAAUAAGUUAUAGAUAUUUUUUUAGUUAUAAAUCAUCUUACUAAAGAUAAAAUGAGAAGUUUAAAUUAAAGUUACUCCUAAAUAAUUUCUAAAUAUUGGAAGAUACCAUUCUAAUAUUUAUUCUUACCUGCAAGCAUAAGUAAGAUCAAUCCUAGUUGGUCAGUCCCCCAUGAUAUGGCUUCUUGCUUUUUAUUGGUACAGAUCGAAAAAGAAAGUGUAUCAUAUAAAUUUGGACAAAUUAAAUUACAUAAUUUAAAAAUUUUCUUGGCUAUUAUUUAUUUUGUCAUAUAUAUGCCUUAUAUAUGCAUAGGUAGUGUGAGCUCUUCGGUGGAUUUUUCGGAGGAUGAGCGGAACCAUACCUUUAAUACAAACCUAAGAGGGGCAUGGUUGGUUUCCAAAUAUGUUUGUAGGCGAAUGCGCGAUGCUAAACAAGGCGGAGGAUCUGUAAUUAGUACUUCUUCAGCUGCUGCUUUGAAUCGGGUAGUGUAUCCGGGGAGUCUUGC
Molecule: long non-coding RNA, 785 nt
Filed under: Nicotiana tabacum (common tobacco)
Lineage: Eukaryota; Viridiplantae; Streptophyta; Magnoliopsida; Solanales; Solanaceae
Description: long non-coding RNA (NTAB_LNC009895)
Source: RNAcentral